GCUGCCUUGGCCUAUCUUUAUGUAGUGGAAGGCCUUCUAAAGAGGAUUGGAUUAAUUUGCUGCAAAAGAUUGAAGCUAGACUAUCUGUUUCGAAAGAAAAACUUCUCUCAUUUGAAGCUAGAGUCGUUCUUAUCAAAUCUGUAUUUAUGGCCCUACCCAGUUUUCAAGUUUUCAACUUGGGUCAUCAACAAAAAAAUAGAAAGAUACACGAGAUCUUUCUUAUGGGAGGGAGCACAGAAUUGUCAUGGCUCCUGUUGCAAGGUGAAUUGGAGU
This 273-nucleotide long non-coding RNA is filed under the name Elaeis guineensis (African oil palm). RNAcentral describes it as "long non-coding RNA (EGUI_LNC001530)". The record is from RNAcentral. Lineage: Eukaryota; Viridiplantae; Streptophyta; Magnoliopsida; Arecales; Arecaceae.